Molecule: long non-coding RNA, 1356 nt
Organism: Suricata suricatta (meerkat)
Lineage: Eukaryota; Metazoa; Chordata; Mammalia; Carnivora; Herpestidae
Exons: 2
Source: RefSeq, a predicted model, not a curated record
UUGGGAAAAGUCAAAUGCCUUCCUGACAGCCUGGGGCACCUCUAGACAGCUGGUCUCGUGCCCUCCUCCCCCUGCCCCGGGAGACAAGCGGAGGCAGUCACCAGUCACCGGGCAGGCAGGUGCCACCAGGAACCGUCCUGAUCCAGAACUGCCAGCAUCUCUGCGCCCGCCGACCCCGCAUUCGCCCCCAUCCCUCGGCCCCACCGGGCUCCACACCCACGGCGGCCACGCCCUCACCUCAGGAGAGCCGCGUGCACCUGUGUCCCACGGCCAAGAGCUGACGGGAGCCGGCAGGAUGGGACCUCCGUCAGCAGGGGCACCGUGAGGGACACCAUGCGGCACACCGGACUGUCACAUGCUCGCACGUCUGCCGCGGGCCUGGCUCCUGCCCGCACCAUUCCAGGCCCGGAGGACAGCGGCCCAGCCCGGGCGGACAUCUGAGCAUCUCGCCCACAUGGUGGUGGCCGGCCUCGAGUCUCCCUCGAGCUUCCCAGCCCGUGAACGUCCGUGUUCCUGACGGCAGUGUGACGUGAGCCCGCGCAGGGCAGACGCCUCACCCCUGCGAUCCCAGGAGACCGCCAGGCCUGGGCUGCAGGGCCUCUGGGGGCGCCUCAGCGUGAACCGCAGGCUGAUUCCGCACCCCAUCUACACCCUGCUGAGAAAGCCAAGUCCCGAGCGCUGCGGAAACGCCGCAGCCCGUGUGAAGGGCACACGUGUGCCUCCCGCUCGCACACCCGGGGAGUGGACACGGGGUCCUAGAGAUGGUGGGGGGGCACCGUGUGCCAUCUGGGACCUGUCAACAUCUCAACACGCGUUCCAGGCGGGACACGGGCCAUGGCCGCCUGUGGCCUCAGGUGAGCCCAGUGACUCCGUCUGUGUUCACAGCCCCCACCGACCCGCCGGCUCACCUGCCCAGACCCCAGACUCCACCGCAGCUCACCGGUGUCUCCGUGCCGGCCUCCCCGCACCUCCCCCCAGCCCACUCCUCCAGGAGGCCUGCCCUCCUCGUCACACGUCUCUGUCCCCAUGUCCAGGUCUGCCGCGUGAGCCCCUAACCUCACAGCGGCAGGCACCACGGGUCCCCACCGCCACACACGCGGAAGCCCAUCUCUCCCGGCGAGCAGCUGAGGGGUCACGGGGAGUCGGGAGCUGGGCUCCAGGACCCCUGUCCCAGGGGAGGGACAGCCCCACACCCUCCCGACGGGGCCUCCACACCAGGCGGCGGUGGCGACAGGACAGCAGCAGGCUGGAAGGCUCAGCAGGAAGAGACACACGUCCUGCUGGAGGAGACAGGGCGAGGCCACGCAUCCCCGCCCUCCCUGUGGGAGUCCCUCCCAACAGCCCGGUUCCCUCUUA